Long non-coding RNA from Danio rerio (zebrafish), 5298 nucleotides. NCBI's taxonomy places the organism in Eukaryota, Metazoa, Chordata, Actinopteri, Cypriniformes, Danionidae. The record is from Ensembl.
CGUUGUCCCGCCCACUAUUUAUUCUUGCUCCGCCCACUUAAAGUGAAAAAAGGGGGUUCGUCUGAAAGUCUCUCAUUCGAUCUGUUCACAAUGGGCGACUCGUGAUAACCACGGAACACACACACAAACAAACACGGGGAAACACGAGGACGGAGAUGAGAAACAACAACAGCAGCUCCUUUGAAGAACCACAAGACCACAACCUCACACAGAUUUUUCCAGUCUCUUCAUGGCUCCCCUCCAACUCCUUUAGAAAUGGCUCAGUGACUGGCGGUAAACCUCCUCUUGCUGACACUCCAGUGAGCAGACAGAGUGGAAUCAUACCAGGUGCGAUCGCUGCUGCAGUGUUUAUAGCAUUUCUGUUAGCGCUCUACACUGUUCUGUGGAAAUGCAUGAUUUCACCACCCAAACGGAGGAAAAAAAGAGCAAGUUUGAGGGCUCACGAGCAGAGGUCUCUUACAUGCUGACUUCCACCUGCCCAGAGUUACUCAUCUUAGGUCGGAUCUGUAUCAGCCGCAGCUUUAAUGUCUGUUUGGCUGAUCACUACACAUUAUCCACUGUCCCAUUUGAAAAAUAGUUCUGAAAAUCUGUGAUUUGGGCAUUCAACUGAAAAAUGUGUGUGUGUGUGCAGGUGCAUGCGUAUGUUUAAAGGAAAUGACAAAGGGAUGGUUCACCCAAAAAUGAAAUUUACUCAUUUACUCCCAUUCGGCAUGUUUCCAACACAUUACAGUUUCUUUCUUAAAAUACAAAGGAAGGUAUUUUGAAAAAAUGUAAAAAUUAGCAGCCAUUGACGUCAGUACUUCCCCCACCCCUACUAUGGAUGGCAAUGGCUGAUGAUUUCACACACACAUACACACACAUCUUCUUUUUUUAUCAAACAGAAAAAUAAGAAAGAAACACAUUUAAUACAACUUGAGGGUGUGUAAAAGUAAAUUAUUUUUAAAAUGAACUGUUCAUCCAUUAAACGUGCUCUUGAAGCGUGUAUAAAUAUAUAUGAUUUGGAAGAGUGACCAAGACAUAAAUGUCCACUAGAUGUCACUAGAUGUGUUCACUUUUAACUCAACGAAACUAGGAAAUCAGCCAAAAGCUCUUCAUUCUUUAGCCCAUAUGUUUUUUAUCUUCGUAAACUUGCCUGUUUAGGACUUUUAUUUGAUUUUAUUGCCUAUAUAUGCUAAUUAACACACAAAAUAUAACACCUAUUAUGAAACUAGACGUUUGUUUUUCUCCAAACGUCCCCUUUGGCCAGGUGAACUCUGCACCAGUGAAUGAGUGCAUGCGUGUGUGGGUGUGAGAGAGCGAGUUUGUGAGAUAUUUGCCUUGUACAGCAGUAUUGGUUAGAGAGAACAGCACAUUUCUGGGUUAAAGUCUUUUUGGGUACGUGUGUGUGUUAAUGUAAGAAAAGGGAGCUACAGAUUGCACAUUUUUAUUGUAGAUAAUAUACCCGUUUGCACAAUAGCUGUACGCGGUUAUAGAUAUUUUACUUAUGUCAUGGCUUUUUUAUUAGCGGUUUUCACUGUGAAUAUCUGACUUUUAUUUUGGAUUAAAGUGUGUCGAUGUAAUCCAGUAUGCAAAUGUGUACUUUGAUUAAAGACGAGUUUGUACAGUUGUUUUAAACUAAUACGUUAGAUGGCUUCAGAAUGAAAAUGUUGCUAGCUUUAUGCUUUCCCAUUUCCAAACCUGCCUUGUGUUAAUCUUCAGAAUAAAUAUGAAGAUGUUUUUAAUGAAUUGUGAAAGAUUUCUGUCCCUUCAUAAAAAUUACCGCACUCAGUAAUACAAUUAAUAGUAAUAAUAAUGAAUUAAAUUAAUUAAUAAUACGAUUGUGGCUGCUGUGCUGACUGUCUAGUGAAAUAAAGGACAUUUAUUCCAGAGCCCAACAUCUGGAGCUUAAGCGUUAAUUUAAACUCUUUAAAAGUUCCUUUAAAGACAGUCUUUAAUAUUUGAAAUCAUUUAAAAAAUGCAAUAAUUUACUACACUCACCGGCCACUUUAUUAGGUACACCUCUCUAACUGCUCAUUAACGCAAAUUUCUAAUCAGCCAAUCACAUGGCAGCAACUCAACGCAUUUAGGCAGGUAGGCAUGGUUGAGACGAUUUGCUGCAGUUUAAACAGAGCAUUAGAAUGGGGAAGAAAGGUGAUUUAAGUGACUUUGAAUGUGGCAUGGUUGUUGGUGCCAGACAGGCUGGUCUGAGUAUUUCAGAAACUGCUGAUUUACUGGGAUUUUCACACACGACCAUCUCUAGAGUUUACAGAGAAUGGUUAUAAAAAAUUAAAAUAUCAAGUGAGCGGCAGUUCCGUGGGCGCAAAUGUCUUGUUGAUGUCAGAGGAGAAUGGCCAGACUGGUUUAAGCUAAUAGGAAGGCAACAGUAACUCAAAUAAACACUCGUUAUAACCAAGGCAUGCAGAAGAGCAUCUCUCAAUGCAUCACACAUCCAACCUUGAGGCAGAUUGGCUACAGCAGCAGAAGAUCACACCGGCUGCCACUCCUGUCACAUAAGAACAGAAAACUGAGGCCAAAUUUGCACAGGCUCACCAAAAUUGAACAAUAGAAAAUUGGAAAAACGUUGCCUGGUCUGAUAAGUCUCGAUUUCUGCUGCAACAUUCAGAUGGUAGGGUCAGAAUUUGGUGUCAACAACAUGAAAGCAUGGAUCUAUCCUGACUUGUACCAACGGUUCAGACUGGUGGUGGUGGUGGUGGUGUAAUGGUGUGGGUGAUAUAUUCUUGGUGCUCUUGGGCCCAUUAUUACCAAAUAAGCGUUGUGUUGAUGCCACAGCCUAUCUGAGCAUUGUUGCUGACCAAGUCCAUCCCUUUAUGACCACAGUCUGCCCAUCUUCUAAUGGCUACUUUCAGCAGGAUAACAUGCCAUGUCAAUAAGCACAAAUCAUCUGACUGGUUUCUUGAACAUGACAAUGAGUUCACUGUACUCAAAUGGCCUUCACAGUCAGCAGAACUCAAUCCAAUAGAGCUCUUUUGGGAUGUGGUGGAACGGGAGAUUUGCAUCAUGGAUGUGCAGCCGACAAAUCUGCAGCAACUGUGUGGUGCUAUCAUGUCAAAUGGACCAAAAUCUCUGAGAAAUAUUUCUAGUACCUUUUUGAAUAUAUGAUAUGAAGGAUUAAGGUGUGUAUUCAUGACAAAUGCAGUAUAACAGUUUUUUUUUAUAUUUUAUUCAUAAAAUUGCCUGUGACAAAAAUAAAACGCUAUUUUCAUUGAACAGUGUGAAAUCAUUACAUUUAUUCCACAAUAAAUAUCCUUAAAACAUUUAUUUUUACAUAUAAAAAGUUUUUCCUUGAUUGCCUCUGAAAAUGUUUUUCCAACAUUUAUUAAAAGAGAAAUUGUAAAAGUGCUCGAUGGCUCCUUCAACAGUAAAUGGUAAACUUUAAACACACAAGCUGUAAUGAACAUUCAAUGCGGUUUGUUUUACACAAGGUAGAAAUACACACAGUGCAUUUAAUACAUAGUAAUGCUUAUGAUAAUACUCUUUCUAUACUGGAGUGUUUGAGUUGCAGUUUCCUGUAUUCAACGCUGUAAGUGUUUCCGUCAUGAACAAGACCAUUUCAAUCAUGUGAAACCUUAACGACAGAAUUAAAUAACAAAUAUUACAUCAUAAAAAAGUCAAACAAUUGUGCUCUAUUGUAGUGAUUUCCUUCGUUGUGAAAUGGUGGAAUCAGCUUGUAUCUGUUAUCACUUUGCCUCAGGUUUGACCUGGGCAACAUAAUCACCGGUACGAAUGAUGGUGAAAGAUCGACAAGCUGAAUAUCUCCCAUCUUCAGAACAGCAGUAGCGCAAUGCUAUCAGAGAAGUCCAUGUGAAACGCAUAGAGCUGACAGAGCAGGAUCACAUUCUGCUUACAGCGUUUCAUCGAUGGCUUGUGAUUGGCUGCUUUAUUUCCCUUAGAGACUCGCAUGCAUUUACAAUAGUGGCAUUCUUAAGACUUCCAGUUCAGUAUAAUGAUAUGGUAAAUAAACUCAAAGAAAGUUUUAGGGCUACAACUUGGAGAUAUCCAUUCGGUGGGCAUUUGGGUGGUUUCAGGCAUAAUCACUGCCAUUAUUAGGACUGACGGCUCUUCUGGAGGGCUCGAAGGCUCUACAGGGAAACUUGAAGGCUCUGCAGGGAUUACGCCGUUGGACUUUUCAUGGUUUUCAGGCAAACUUGCAGGCUCUACGUGGAUUUCGCCGUUAGAUUUUUCAUGGUUUUCAAAGCAAACGUUGUCAUAUGUAGCUUUACUAUUGAGCUCCAUCUCUUUUUCUUGUUCUUCUUGAAUCUGCAGCAGAAGUGCGUUGUUUACUCCAGGACCUGGGAAACACACACACAGUCCUUUUUAUUAGUUAAAGUCCCAUUGAAAUCAAAAUGUAGUUUUAGACGUUAGUAUCAGUAUUUUAAUCUCCAUGUCUACUAAAGUGUUUUAUUUUUUUCUUGAGCUAAGAAAUAGUUUUUCGUUGUUGUUAAUAGUAGCUCAAUGUUCAUAAAUGUCUUUAGUAAAUGCACACCCUGAUCUGAUGCGGUAGACACAGGCGAAUAAUGUCAUUUUUAAAUUGUUUUGGUGUACAAAAGUGUUCUUGGAGCUUCGUAUGAUUAAAGUUGAACCACUGCAAUUCACAUGGAAUAAUUUGACAAUGUUUUUGGUGUUGCACUCUAUUAUCCUUAAAUAGUAUCUUUAUACGUCUUGAUUUUUGUUUUAAAUAUGCCAGUCAAGAUUUUGUAUAUAUGAAUAAAGGUAAUGACAGUCAUUAAGUGACCUACAGUAAAGGUCAAGUGAGUGACAGUUUAGUUUAAUAACUUACCAAAGUAACUGAGCAGCACAGGCAGAAAUAUGAGUCCAUGGGCCAUGCCGAGAAGAGUUAUGACCAGAUUGAGUCUGAAGAAGAAGAUCUGGAUGAGCUGAGCUUUAGCAAACGCCAAAACAACAAUUCCGGGCAGAUUGGUCAUCGCAACACCAGCAAACACCUGAGAGAGACAAGGGAUUUAAGAAAUUUUUUUAAACUACAGUAGUAGUUUUAAAAUUUACAGUAGUAAAGACAUUUUUUUGCUCAAAUUGUUGUCCUUUGUGAUUCAUUAAAUGCAAGUAAAAGUGUCACUCAGAAAUAUCUUAAAAAUAGCCAGAUAACAUUUACAUUGUAAAGAAAUGUAUCAUUCCUAUUGUUUUCUGCAUUGUAUUACCGUGUAUGUAUUUAUGUAUGUAUAUUCAAACUCAAAAAAGUUGUUUCAUUACCCUUUAAAAAAAAUUUGUUGAACAAAAGAGUGUUUUUUUGUGGCAUUUUAAUUAAGGCAAGUUUAUUUAUAUAGCACAUUUCACACAGUGACA